Molecule: ribosomal RNA, 1544 nt
Filed under: Nocardiopsis sp. MBRC-48
Lineage: Bacteria; Bacillati; Actinomycetota; Actinomycetes; Streptosporangiales; Nocardiopsidaceae
Description: bacterial SSU rRNA
Rfam family: Bacterial small subunit ribosomal RNA
Source: RNAcentral
GGAAAAAGGGGGGGUUUUAUAUAUAUUUUUUUUUCCCCGUCAGGCGAACGCUGGCGGCGUGCUUAACACAUGCAAGUCGAGCGGUAAGGCCCUUCGGGGUACACGAGCGGCGAACGGGUGAGUAACACGUGAGCAACCUGCCCCUGACUCUGGGAUAAGCGGUGGAAACGCCGUCUAAUACCGGAUACGACCCACCACCUCAUGGUGGAGGGUGGAAAGUUUUAUCGGUCAGGGAUGGGCUCGCGGCCUAUCAGCUUGUUGGUGGGGUAACGGCCUACCAAGGCGAUUACGGGUAGCCGGCCUGAGAGGGCGACCGGCCACACUGGGACUGAGACACGGCCCAGACUCCUGCGGGAGGCAGCAGUGGGGAAUAUUGCACAAUGGGCGAAAGCCUGAUGCAGCGACGCCGCGUGGGGGAUGACGGCCUUCGGGUUGUAAACCUCUUUUACCACCAACGCAGGCUCCACGUUCUCGUGGGGUUGACGGUAGGUGGGGAAUAAGGACCGGCUAACUACGUGCCAGCAGCCGCGGUAAUACGUAGGGUCCGAGCGUUGUCCGGAAUUAUUGGGCGUAAAGAGCUCGUAGGCGGCAUGUCGCGUCUGCUGUGAAAGACCGGGGCUUAACUCCGGUUCUGCAGUGGAUACGGGCAUGCUAGAGGUAGGUAGGGGAGACUGGAAUUCCUGGUGUAGCGGUGAAAUGCGCAGAUAUCAGGAGGAACACCGGUGGCGAAGGCGGGUCUCUGGGCCUUACCUGACGCUGAGGAGCGAAAGCAUGGGGAGCGAACAGGAUUAGAUACCCUGGUAGUCCAUGCCGUAAACGUUGGGCGCUAGGUGUGGGGACUUUCCACGGUUUCCGCGCCGUAGCUAACGCAUUAAGCGCCCCGCCUGGGGAGUACGGCCGCAAGGCUAAAACUCAAAGGAAUUGACGGGGGCCCGCACAAGCGGCGGAGCAUGUUGCUUAAUUCGACGCAACGCGAAGAACCUUACCAAGGUUUGACAUCACCCGUGGACCUGUAGAGAUACAGGGUCAUUUAGUUGGUGGGUGACAGGUGGUGCAUGGCUGUCGUCAGCUCGUGUCGUGAGAUGUUGGGUUAAGUCCCGCAACGAGCGCAACCCUUGUUCCAUGUUGCCAGCACGUAAUGGUGGGGACUCAUGGGAGACUGCCGGGGUCAACUCGGAGGAAGGUGGGGACGACGUCAAGUCAUCAUGCCCCUUAUGUCUUGGGCUGCAAACAUGCUACAAUGGCCGGUACAAUGGGCGUGCGAUACCGUAAGGUGGAGCGAAUCCCUUAAAGCCGGUCUCAGUUCGGAUUGGGGUCUGCAACUCGACCCCAUGAAGGUGGAGUCGCUAGUAAUCGCGGAUCAGCAACGCCGCGGUGAAUACGUUCCCCGGGCCUUGUACACACCGCCCCGUCACGUCAUGAAAGUCGGCAACACCCGAAACUUGUGGCCUAACCCUUCGGGGAGGGAAUGAGUGAAGGUGGGGCUGGCGAUGGGACCAUCAACAAAGCGCCCCCCCCAAAAACACAGAAAAAAGGGGGGGGGC